GGACUCGUAGAUCAACGGUUAGGCCGCUCCAGAAAACUUAUAGUUAAGUUCAAGGGGAGGUUGCGAGUUCGACUCUCGCCGAGUGCA
Mycena alexandri is the source of this 87-nucleotide non-coding RNA. The record is from the annotation of a GenBank genome assembly. NCBI's taxonomy places the organism in Eukaryota, Fungi, Basidiomycota, Agaricomycetes, Agaricales, Mycenaceae.